GGGGGGGGCGGCUUAAACAUGCCAGUCGAACGGUCUCUUCGGAGAUAGUGGCGGACGGGUGAGUAACGCGUGAGAAUCUGUGCUCUAGGUCGGGGACAACCACUGGAAACGGUGGCUAAUACCGGAUGUGCCGAAAGGUGAAAGAUUUAUUGCCUAGAGAUGAGCUCGCGUCUGAUUAGCUAGUAGGUGUGGUAAGAGCGCACCUAGGCGACGAUCAGUAGCUGGUCUGAGAGGAUGAUCAGCCACACUGGGACUGAGACACGGCCCAGACCCCUACGGGAGGCAGCAGUGGGGAAUUUUCCGCAAUGGGCGAAAGCCUGACGGAGCAAUACCGCGUGAGGGAGGAAGGCUCUUGGGUUGUAAACCUCUUUUCUCAGGGAAGAAAAAAAUGACGGUACCUGAGGAAUAAGCAUCGGCUAACUCCGUGCCAGCAGCCGCGGUAAU
This 444-nucleotide ribosomal RNA is filed under the name uncultured Nostoc sp. RNAcentral describes it as "bacterial SSU rRNA". It matches the Rfam family "Bacterial small subunit ribosomal RNA", at positions 38 to 524 of the family's 1533-position model. The record is from RNAcentral. Lineage: Bacteria; Bacillati; Cyanobacteriota; Cyanophyceae; Nostocales; Nostocaceae.